AAACACCCAAAACAUCUCUCAUUCUGACGCCUGAUAUUCAGGGUAUCAGACUGACUUUUUGCACUGAUAUAUUGUUUUCUUAUUUUAAAUAAAUAUCUACCAACUAAUAGAUAAAUAAACCCCCCAAAACAGUCAAUAACCAUUACUAAUUUCAGGAACUAACCAAAUCUGUAAGACUUGAAUUCAGUAAAAUUACUUAUAGGCCAAAUGUAGACAUAGCAUAACACAUUACAAUCGGUUUUAUCACCCACACUGCAUAUUCUGACCAUGGGGUAAUACUCAUUGACAUGGGUUUGCUCAAAUAAUGAGCUGAUAGUGCAGUGUUGAGGAAGACUUGUAGUUAUAGUUUCAUAAUGGCACUCUCCAUUGUUGCUCUUUGCUGUUUCCUCUGAUAGCUGAACUACACAUUUUUAUAUCAGCUACACAUUUCCUAAAUUGUUCAUGCAAAGGAAAUAUGCAUUUGCUCUCUUGACCAUAAUAUGUUUCAGUUACAUUAUUUAUAUCAAGAGUUUCUAACUUUCAAAUAUAGCUUUUUGUACUCCUGCUUUGAACCCUGCCCCUUUGGGUGUUUAUGUGCAGUGUAUCUCCUCCACUGGUCUAUCAGAGUGAAAAUAUCAGUGUAUAGUGAUGAAAUGUAUAUGUUGCACCAUUUUCAUGCUAAUAAUAAUAAUUAUCUCCAUAUGAGUACAAAGAUUGUAGCCUACCACCUUAUUACCUACAAGUAAAGGCUGUCUGGGUCAAACCUUGUUUGUUUUUAGUAACCUGAUACAUUUUGUGGCUGAUUAUGACAAGAAUUUCUAAUUACCAGAAAACACAUUUACUGAUGCUGAGAGAUCCUAAAAGAUAAAAACUUUUCUUUCAUUUGGCCCAGGACUAUAACCAUGUCUGUCCACAUGCCACUGCCACUCAGCCAGCAUAAUUAUGAGCAAUACAUCCUCCCACUCACAGGUUACUCAACUGACAACCAUAAAUGUUGGUUACGUUGUAUUUUUCUGCACUUGGUCCAAACUUGAUAUAGUUUCAAAUGCUAGAGAUUUUCCACUUCACUGGUGCACUUGAAUCUGUUAAUUCAAUAUUGUGCAUGAAUACAGUCAGAAUUCCCUUUUUGAGCUUUCAUAAUUCCAUUGCAGCUACUCUUAUCUUUGUAUGUUUAAUGCAGGGACAUUUCCUCAUUUCAAAGUCUAAAUCCUGUACAUUGUGUAACAUAGGAAAGAGGGUAAAUACCAGUGGACAGGAUAAGAUUAACUGAAAAAUCAAGGAUGGAUCUCACUAAACACAUUGAGACAUGUUAUAACUUAUUGGUUGGUCAAUAGACCAACUGUUUCUAUGCAGGGAUAUGUUAUUAGUCUUUUAUGGUUUUUUAAGUUCACUUAGCAGUCAAAUUGCAUAAAAGGGUAAUUUUGUUCAAAGCGGGGGUUUCUUAAACAAACUAUUUCUCUUUUUUAAAAAUGGAGGUGAAGUUUAACAUUUCUUUCAGUACAAACAGUAAGAAUUAAAGCCUCUUCCUGUUGUAAGUUACCUUUACAAAGCCAUAAUAACAGUUUCAGAAAUGCCUCUUUGAUGCAUCUAUUCAGGUAGUGUGCUAUUCAUCAUUGGUCCAUCAUCGGCUAAUAGUUUGCAUUGUCGACUAAUACCAACAUCUCUGAGCAGCACUGGGCAGACAGUAUUGAUAUAAAUCAUAGAAUCGAUGAUUAUUAUUAUGAAUAGUAAAUUAAAAAUAAACCUGAAAGAAAUCAACAUUUUGUAUUACUGGUGAGUUUUACCUUUAUGCAUGGAUGACUAACAAAAUCCUGAACAUGACUUAGAAGCAACCCAUGAAUAAAGACAUAACUUUGUAUAUUGUGUGAGUAAAUUGAAACUAUGAUAUUAUGGGUAUUCUUAAAUUCCAAUCAAAUUGACUUGAUGGCACAAGUUUUUUCCUUUGGUCACCCUUCAUCUCAAGAUCAAAGCUGACAUAGACUGUAAAAAGUCAGGAAAGAUCUAGCCUGUCUCAUAGUUCCUGAACUGCAUUAUUUUUACUUCCGUCUAUGCCUUUCUGCAAUGAUAAAGACCUAAUUUAAGCAAGUCUAGAUUUACUUAGUUUCAGGAAUCUCCCAUCUCACUGGAGCUCCUUUUCAGUUUAAAAGGAUUUGUUUGAUUCUAUCAAAAUUAUAUAUAUUCAGAGACUAAUUGCUAGUCUUGGAUGGUCCUGUUAGACAUGGAAAUCCUAUCCAAUCCAGUUUAUGCCCGACAACUAUGAACGGGACCAAGACACGUUGAGCUUGGCAGAGGAGAAAUGUGACCUUCAAAUUGCAGAAUCCGAGGGGGAGUCUCAGGCAUUCCAAAGGGAGGAAGGGGAUUCAGAUGUAGUAUCUGUGAGAAAGUACUGAAAUGUAAAGGUGGAUAUACUGUUCAUCAGCAGAUGACUUGAAGUCAAAAGAAACGGAGACCAUUCAGUCAUUUCUACAGAUUUCCAAGCACGAAUGCUCUUAUGUUCAGCUGAGAACAAAAAUGAUGAACAAGCAGAAAAUACAGCAGCAAAGGACAAGGAAGAGAUGGCACACAUUUUAAGAAUGAAAUUAACUUAAUAAAUAUUCAGAUCAUUUCUAAGGGAUGUUACAUUUGGGAAUUCACUUUCCCAGUAUAGUACAGAUACUAGUACUUUGCUGGUAGAGGGUGGAGUGAAUCCCUUGUGUGAUUUGAACCCACCCUCUAAGAGUGAAACACCUUAUCACAGAACAACAUUGUCAUCAAUUUAACCUGACAAAUGUUAGUCAAGGUCUCGAUCAGAGAAGUGUAAAUGCCACAAUUACAAUUUUUUGCAAAGUUAUGCAAAUAAGAAUGUCAAAACUAUUUGGUUUAAUAAAUAGUAAUUAUUAAACUUA
Molecule: long non-coding RNA, 2864 nt
Filed under: Haliotis rubra (blacklip abalone)
Lineage: Eukaryota; Metazoa; Mollusca; Gastropoda; Lepetellida; Haliotidae
Description: uncharacterized LOC124253220, transcript variant X3
Source: RNAcentral